AAUGGCAGUGCUGAGCCUCGUGUCGGAGUGAGGGGGACUCGGAGGAGAGUGGGGCGCUCUAGCCGCUCAGUCCGGCCGACCGCUUGCUCGCCCGCCCGCUGCCGCGCAGCAGCCUCGACCCAAGCCGCAGCUGGCGAGGGGAGGCAGGGCGCCGGGCUCGGCCCGCGCUCUGACUCUGGCUCCCGGCGCCCCGGCUGCUGCCGCGCGCCCUCCAGCCCGCCCGUCCCGGGUCCCCCUCCC
RNAcentral lists this long non-coding RNA (240 nucleotides) under Homo sapiens (human). RNAcentral's name for it is "LHRI_LNC1883.1". The record is from RNAcentral. Lineage: Eukaryota; Metazoa; Chordata; Mammalia; Primates; Hominidae.